RNAcentral lists this unclassified non-coding RNA (343 nucleotides) under Hevea brasiliensis (rubber tree). Lineage: Eukaryota; Viridiplantae; Streptophyta; Magnoliopsida; Malpighiales; Euphorbiaceae. The record is from RNAcentral.
AUCAAGUGCAAGCUCAUCGCUUGUAGUAAAAGUAGAUACAAACACGCUCGCUUAACUGGAGACCCAAAUCUUUUGUGAAAUGGCAUGGCCUUCUCUCUGUCUGCCCUCCUCCUCAAUUCCAUUGCAGCACUCUCCUUGACCCUCCUCUCCAUUUUCCUUUUCUCCAAAUCACCACUCCAGUCCUCAACAUCUCCUCAAAUCCCCCACAGAUCUCUCCUCUCCCAAACCCAGAACCAGACUCUCCCUCUCUCUUGCUCCUCCCUUUCCCCCACGAAUGGCCUCAUCAACUACCUUUCUCUCCACUUUUGCCUUUUCAAGGGGAAUCUUUUCCUCUCGAUUCCUU